AACGAACGCUGGCGGCAUGCCUAACACAUGCAAGUCGAACGAGACCUUCGGGUCUAGUGGCGCACGGGUGCGUAACGCGUGGGAACCUACCCUUAGGUUCGGAAUAACUCCCCGUAGGGGGUGCUAAUACCGGAUAAUGUCUUCGGGCCAAAGAUUUAUCGCUUUUGGAUGGGCCCGCGUUGGAUUAGCUAGUUGGUAGGGUAAAAGCCUACCAAGGCGACGAUGCAUAGCUGGUCUGAGAGGAUGAUCAGCCACACUGGGACUGAGACACGGACCAGUAUCCUACGGGAGGCAGCAGUGGGGAAUAUUGGACAAUGAGCGAAAGCGUGACCAAGCCAUGCGGCGUAAGUGAUGAAGGCCUUAGGGUUGUAAAGCUCUUUUACCCGGGAUGAUAAUGACAGUACCGGGAGAAUAAGCACCGGCUAACUACGUG
Molecule: ribosomal RNA, 433 nt
Filed under: uncultured bacterium
Lineage: Bacteria
Description: partial 16S ribosomal RNA
Rfam family: Bacterial small subunit ribosomal RNA
Source: RNAcentral